GGCGGAAUAGCUCAGCUGGCUAGAGCAUCCGGUUCAUACCCGGCAGGUAGUUGGUUCAAAUCCGACUUCCGCUACCA
RNAcentral lists this transfer RNA (77 nucleotides) under Clostridia bacterium. RNAcentral describes it as "tRNA-Met". It matches the Rfam family "tRNA". Rfam says of the family: Transfer RNA (tRNA) molecules are approximately 80 nucleotides in length. The record is from RNAcentral. Lineage: Bacteria; Bacillati; Bacillota; Clostridia.